AGUUACACGACACAAAUGCUAACUCUGUCCCAGGAAUGGACUUGAAGAAAUUGACAUCGACCUGCCAGUCAGUCAUAAGUACGUCUGAAAAGUUGCUCUGACCAGUCACAGGUGCACCGACAGUGAGACAGCUCUGGGUCUUUACCAGUCCCUUUUCAGCUGAAGGUGUGGGAGGAGAAAAAUCUGUGGGGAACCUAUGUGCAAGCAUUCUUCAGAAGAAAGGAAAAGGAGAGAUUGCCUGGAAGAUCAUAACUCAGAAAAUUCUUUGUUAAAGGAAGUAAAGCACAUCAUAGAAAACCUCUCUGGUAUGCUUCAUGAGAUUUGAGAAAACACAAUAUUAAUGAAACCAUAGAAGAAAGGGUGAGCAGAAAUAAGGUGAUAGGACAAGCUAAAAAAGAAGAUAGGUGGACUAAGGAAGGAAGAAAUACAGAGAAAUGGAAACGUUAUCCAAUGGUUUAAAGCAUUAUCCGAGCAAAAAAGAGCAUGCGUGUUGCACUGGGUGUUACACACAAACAAUCAUGGAACACUGCAUCAGAAACUAAGGAUGUGCUGUAUGGUGACUAACAUCACAUAAUGAAAAAUUAAAAAAAAAAAAAGAGCAAAGUUGUUGAGGCCAAACUUGGGAAACAUCUCAGAAUGUAGGUCAAAGGGAUGUGGUGAGAGCAGAGGGCCAGGCAGCAGGGUGGAGAGCCACCUCCUCCGGAUGAUAGAAUGCCUGAAGAUGAAGCCAGAACAGUUGGAGCAAAGGACGAUGGCGUCUUCUGAAGGUGAUGCACUCACUCAAAGAUACAGACACACAUGCAUCAGAAGAGGCGAGACCUGCAUUAUCCAUGUGUUACAGUCGGAGAAAAAGCAUGUAGAUUGAGAGCAAGAUCGUAAAUGCGCACAAAGAGACGAUGAAAGCAGUGUGGACAACUACAUAGCACAGCGUGUUUCUAAUAAUCUGCAGAUUGUUUAUGAAAUAAGCCAGUUCCAUACCACAGACGACUCUUCAUUGGCAAGCUUAUCGCUCACUGUGUGUUCUCAAAGUCCCUUUGCUUUGUAGUUUAGAAAUUUAAAAAACUAAUAAUAAUAAGAGCCAGAACACAUGCUAUGGUAUGAACAUUUGUGUCCUCCCAAAUUUCAUAUGUCAAAUGUGAUACUAUGAUCUCGAACCUCAAGCCUCCAGAACCAACAACAACCUGUUGUUGACAGGUCACGCAGUCUGUGGUAUUUUGUUAUAGCAGCCUGCGUGGACUAAGACAAUAGGUGAAAAAUCCGAUUUUCCACAGUGCUUUCGGAGCAAUGAGUCACGAAUGUAAAGAAGGGCUGUGUAGGGCACAUCUUCAGGACGCGGGGGACACUCAUCACUGUUGGCCAGCAGUUCUUUGGUUUGAUUAUCAGACAUCACCUUAAAAUACUUAGCAAGCCCUGUAGCUCCUGAGAGAUCAAAGGCCAGGGGACACAACUGUACAGUCCUUAACGGUUCAGAGAGUAGCUGAGCUCCGGAUCACUUGGAAGGAACAUGUAAAAACAUGCGUGAUGGGAAGUGUGACAUGUGUAGUAUGUUUGUCUCAUUCAUGCCCAUCCAUGUGUGGAUUCUCAGUGCAGUUGGUAUUUGUUCCGACUGAUUCACAUACUGCUUGUUAAGCACUGUCCUGGGUGCUAGAAAUACAAAGCUGAAUAAAAUCCGAAUCCUGCCCUCCAGUUGCUAACAGUGUAGUCAAUAGGUGCUAAAGAAUCAAGGGACUUCCAGUGUGUCAUUGCGGGUCAGACGAGGAUACGAAGGGCAAGUAGGUCUUCAGGAAGCUCUUGUGGGAAGUGAUGGGUAAGAACAAGAAGACUGAAAUGGACACUCAGCAAGUCACGUGGACAGAUCUGCCUGAGUCCACUUUGAAGUAAGAAAGUCCACUCUCAGGAAAUGAAUGAACAAAGGAUUCCGGGAAAAACAAGUAAAUUACUGCCCAAAAGAACUAGAAAAACUCAAAACUAGACAGAUGAUUUUGUAUUUACAUGCCCCACAAACUAAAAGUUGCAGAUUUUAUGGGGUUUUUAAGUAAUGUUCAUAGUUUAUAAACUUCAAAAGCCAUUUGGGUUUCAAAUGGUCGUGAUUAAAUAGCUUUAGUGACAAGUGUAAGUCGUAAGACGCUUCAUCCGUGUCCCCACACCACCAUGGACUGACCCCCUUGCUUCCAGAACCUCUUGAGAGGCCUCCUGGGCCUCCAGCUCCUCUUUGCCAUCUGGCUUCUACCGCUUGGCGAGACAGUGUUCUCU
RNAcentral lists this long non-coding RNA (2253 nucleotides) under Ailuropoda melanoleuca (giant panda). RNAcentral describes it as "lncRNA (ENSAMEG00000026149.1)". Lineage: Eukaryota; Metazoa; Chordata; Mammalia; Carnivora; Ursidae. The record is from RNAcentral.